GUGCCAGCCGCCGCGGUAAUACGUAGGUGGCAAGCGUUGUCCGGAUUUAUUGGGCGUAAAGCGAGCGCAGGCGGUUUUUUAAGUCUGAUGUGAAAGCCUUCGGCUCAACCGAAGAAGUGCAUCGGGAANUGGGAAACUUGAGUGCAGAAGAGGACAGUGGAACUCCAUGUGUAGCGGUGAAAUGCGUAGAUAUAUGGAAGAACACCAGUGGCGAAGGCGGCUGUCUGGUCUGUAACUGACGCUGAGGCUCGAAAGUAUGGGUAGCAAACAGGAUUAGAUACCCUGGUAGUCCAUACCGUAAACGAUGAAUGCUAAGUGUUGGAGGGUUUCCGCCCUUCAGUGCUGCAGCUAACGCAUUAAGCAUUCCGCCUGGGGAGUACGGCCGCAAGGCUGAAACUCAAAGGAAUUGACGGGGGCCCGCACAAGCGGUGGAGCAUGUGGUUUAAUUCGAAGCUACGCGAAGAACCUUACCAGGUCUUGACAUACUAUGCAAAUCUAAGAGAUUAGACGUUCCCUUCGGGGACAUGGAUACAGGUGGUGCAUGGUUGUCGUCAGCUCGUGUCGUGAGAUGUUGGGUUAAGUCCCGCAACGAGCGCAACCCUUAUUAUCAGUUGCCAGCAUUAAGUUGGGCACUCUGGUGAGACUGCCGGUGACAAACCGGAGGAAGGUGGGGAUGACGUCAAAUCAUCAUGCCCCUUAUGACCUGGGCUACACACGUGCUACAAUGGAUGGUACAACGAGUUGCGAACUCGCGAGAGUAAGCUAAUCUCUUAAAGCCAUUCUCAGUUCGGAUUGUAGGCUGCAACUCGCCUACAUGAAGUCGGAAUCGCUAGUAAUCGCGGAUCAGCAUGCCGCGGUGAAUACGUUCCCGGGCCUUGUACACACCGCCCGU
Molecule: ribosomal RNA, 892 nt
Filed under: uncultured bacterium
Lineage: Bacteria
Description: bacterial SSU rRNA
Rfam family: Bacterial small subunit ribosomal RNA
Source: RNAcentral